UCACAUCCAUGUUUUGCUAUCAAACCAAGUUUCAACCUCCUUGCCUCCUUCCUCCCUCCCUUGCUUUCUUCAUCUCCUUGGUUUCCAUUACUUCUCCACUUAGAGCUUCAAAGGUGAGGAGCAUUACGGAGCACUGUAGCGACCGGUGAUCAAGCCGGAGAGGAGAUCGUCAUUGCCAACUUGUCACCAAACCUAGAGGAUCGUUUUAGGGAGUGGUCUUGGAUCUCAUUUUUUUGGGCUUAAGCUAAUAUCAGAUCAAGAGUGGUAGACCGUGGUGGAUCUUGAAAGACUGCCUGUAGAUGUUGCUUGUCCUGUGUAAAAUUGUAGUCCUUGUCAUUGUCUAUCACUAUGUCCCUGUAUUUUGUAUUUUGGACUUCUGUAUCCCGAUUUUGUGUACUUUGUAGAGUUUGUAAUCCUGUAACUCAGUUGGGUUAUUAUAGUUUUACUUGUCCUA
Long non-coding RNA from Dioscorea cayenensis subsp. rotundata (Guinea yam), 454 nucleotides. RefSeq lists it as uncharacterized. NCBI's taxonomy places the organism in Eukaryota, Viridiplantae, Streptophyta, Magnoliopsida, Dioscoreales, Dioscoreaceae. The transcript is spliced from 3 exons. The record is from RefSeq and is a predicted model, not a curated record.